RNAcentral lists this ribosomal RNA (315 nucleotides) under uncultured Glomeromycotina. RNAcentral's name for it is "SSU rRNA". It matches the Rfam family "Eukaryotic small subunit ribosomal RNA", at positions 569 to 886 of the family's 1831-position model. Lineage: Eukaryota; Fungi; Glomeromycota. The record is from RNAcentral. RNAcentral also lists the same sequence under 1 other name.
AGCAGCCGCGGUAAUUCCAGCUCCAAUAGCGUAUAUUAAAGUUGUUGCAGUUAAAAAGCUCGUAGUUGAACUUCGGAAUUUAUUCAUUGGUCAGGCUUAACUGUCUGUACUGGUGUAUUGAAUUCCUACCUUCUGAGGAAUCAUCAUGUCAUUAACUUGGUGUGGUGGGGAAUCAGGACUGUUACUUUGAAAAAAUUAGAGUGUUUAAAGCAGGCUAACGUCUGAAUACAUUAGCAUGGAAUAAUAGAAUAGGACGGUUUGGUUCUAUUUUGUUGGUUUCUAGGAUCACCGUAAUGAUUAAUAGGGAUAGUUGGG